Molecule: microRNA precursor, 95 nt
Filed under: Chlorocebus sabaeus (green monkey)
Lineage: Eukaryota; Metazoa; Chordata; Mammalia; Primates; Cercopithecidae
Description: miRNA (ENSCSAG00000024821.1)
Source: RNAcentral
AAAUAUUAGGCUGGUGCAUAAGUAUUGAGGUUUUUGCUAUUGAAAGUCAUGGCAAAACCUGCAAUUACUUUUGCACCAACCUAAUAAUACAUAAU